Molecule: ribosomal RNA, 464 nt
Filed under: uncultured bacterium
Lineage: Bacteria
Description: partial 16S ribosomal RNA
Rfam family: Bacterial small subunit ribosomal RNA
Source: RNAcentral
CUACGGGACGCUGCAGUGGGGAAUAUUGCACAAUGGGCGCAAGCCUGAUGCAGCCAUGCCGCGUGUAUGAAGAAGGCCUUCGGGUUGUAAAGUACUUUCAGCGGGGAGGAAGGGAGUAAAGUUAAUACCUUUGCUCAUUGACGUUACCCGCAGAAGAAGCACCGGCUAACUCCGUGCCAGCAGCCGCGGUAAUACGGAGGGUGCAAGCGUUAAUCGGAAUUACUGGGCGUAAAGCGCACGCAGGCGGUGUGUUAAGUCAGAUGUGAAAUCCCCGGGCUCAACCUGGGAACUGCAUCUGAUACUGGCAAGCUUGAGUCCCGUAGAGGGGGGUAGAAUUCCAGGUGUAGCGGUGAAAUGCGUAGAGAUCUGGAGGAAUACCGGUGGCGAAGGCGGCCCCCUGGACGAAGACUGACGCUCAGGUGCGAAAGCGUGGGGAGCAAACAGGAUUAGAUACCCUCGUAGUC